GCUGAGCACAAUGUAGGCGCUCUAAGACUAAUGAAAGAAUCAAAUCAGGUGUGUGAGUGAUUCAGCAAGAAGUUGAAUUAGAGCCAGCUGCUUCGUCUGAGUUGGGUUAAGUCAGAGGGGGAGGGUUGAUAUUGGGUAAUCAGAACAAAACGAGCUGGAGGGCCAGCCACCUGCUUAGUCGGAGUAAGAAUGCCUGCAGAGACCUGGACCAGAGUGGGCAGAAUGGAGUCACCAUGAAUAUAUGCACCAAGGGAAUGAACACACAAAUUAAAAGGCUGGAGUAUAGUGGUGCGAUCAUAGCUAGCUGCAGCCUUGAACUCCUCCUCAAGCAAUCCUUCCUCCUUGGCCUCGCAAAGUCCUGGGAUUACAGGCGUGAGCUACUGGGCCUGACCUACAAAAUGUUUUAUGCUUUCGCCUAUUAUAGGAGACAUAUUGCUCACCCUUCACGAGAGGUCAAACACCUGAGUUAAAUUUUGGAAAGCUUCUAUAUACCUAUCAGGAUCUUCAGAAAAUCAGACUAAGCCUCCUUUUAUUUGCCUAAGGACCUGCAAUGAGAAGGGAACUUGAACCCUAGUGGCAUCACCUCCAUUGGGAAUUUCCUAUAGGGGGCCUAAAUAGUGUUCCUUGGAGAGAAAAUUACCCUGGGAAUGAAUAAACAAGAGCAAUGCAAAUGUUUCUUUUACAUUAGAUUCUUGCAGCCCUGGAAAUCCUAAAUAAUAAUCAUGGCAAUACUACAUUUAUAAGACUAAAAGAUAGGAACUCAAGAAAAAUUUGGUCAUAGCAGUUGGUGAAAAAGUGAAUUUAAGAGAAGUGACAAAAAGAACUACUUGGGAUAUCCACGACUGUUACAGAUGCUUCGUGGAGGUUCAAAAAGACUACAGAUCAAGGCCAGUGACCUUCUACACAUGGUGGACACUCCAGCCUCUGCUCAAUCUCCAUCCACACUUAAAGGAAAUAGCCAACUCUUGGCCAACCUUCAGGCCUGGGAAGAGGCUCAAGCAGACACUGAAGACGGACUUAAGGCUAUACGAUGUCCGGAAGUGGUGGGUUCUUGGUCUCACUGACUUCAAAAAUGAAGACGAAGACGUGGACUCUGGCGGUGAGUGUUACAGUUCUUAAAGGCGGUGUGUCCGGAGUUCAUUCCUUAUAAUGUUGGGAGUUUCUUCCUUAUGGUGGGUUUGUGGUCUCGCUGGCUCCGGAGUGAAGCUGCAGACCUUCGCGGUGAGUGUUACAGCUCUUAAGGCGGCACGUCUGGAGUUGCUGGAUCCUCCCGGUGCGUUUGUGGUCUCGCUGACUUCAGGACUGAAGCUGCAAACCUUUGCCGUGAGUGUUACAGCUUAUAAAAGCAAUGUGGACCCACAGAGAGAACAGCAGCAAGAUUUAUUGGAAAGAGAUAAAGAAUAAGGCUUCCACACUGUGGGAGGGGACCGGAGGGGGUUGCCACUGCUGGCUCCGGCAGCCUGCUUUUAUUCUCUUAUCUGGCCCCACCCACAUCCUGCUGAUUGGUAGAGCCCAGUGGUCUGUUUUGACAGGGUGCUGAUUGGUGCAUUUACAAUCCCUGAGCUAGACACAAAGGUUCUCCAAGUCCCCACCAGAUUAGCUAGAUACAGAGUGUCCAUUGGUGCAUUCACAAACCCUGACCUAGACACAGGGUGCUGAAUGGUGUGUUUACAAACCUUAAGCUAGAUACAGAGUGCCGAUUGGUGUUUUUACAAUCCCUUAGCUAGACAUAAAGGUUCUCCACGUCCCCACCAGACUCAGGAGCCCAGCUGGCUUCACCCAGUGGAUCCCGCCCAGGGGCUGCAGGUGGAGCUGCCUGCCAGUCCCGCGCCGUGUGCCUGCACUCCUUAGCCCUUGGGUGGUGGAUGGGACUGGGCGCCGUGGAGCAAGAGGCGGCGCUCAUCCCGGAGGCUCCGGCGGCACAGGAGCCCACGGAGAGGAGGAGGCUCAGGCAUGGCGGGCUGCAGGUCCCAAGCCCUGCCCCGCGGGAAGGCAGCUAAGGGCUGGCGAGAAAUUGAGCACAGCAGCUGCUGGCCCAGGUGCUAAGCCCCUCAGUGCCUGGGGCCGGUGGGGCCGGCUGGCCGCUCAGAGUGCGGGGUCCGCCCAGCCCACGCCCACCUGGAACUUGCGCUGGCCCGCAAGCACCGCGUGCAGACCCAGUUCCCUCCCGCGCCUCUCCCUCCACACCUCCCAGCAAGCUGAGGGAGCCGGCUCCGGCCUUGGCCAGC
Molecule: long non-coding RNA, 2228 nt
Filed under: Homo sapiens (human)
Lineage: Eukaryota; Metazoa; Chordata; Mammalia; Primates; Hominidae
Description: HSALNT0163046
Source: RNAcentral